CUAGUUUCCUUAGUACUUGUGCUUCCGUGUCAAUACCGUGUGCUGUAAACUGCUGAACGAACUGAGAUACUCAUUCAGUUUUGGUCGCCUCUCCAUUAUCUCGUGGUGACGUAAAGGUGACGGCCCGUGUGUUAGUCUCCCCGGUAAUUGUGCCUCCGUAACAUUACUGUGUGCAGUGGUCGUGAGAACUGCGAGGCGGCGGUGUAGACUGUGCCGUGGAGAGCCGCGGGGUGUUGGAAUCGCCUCUCAGUCACCUUGAAGGCGUCAUAUUCCCUCCCUGCUCUUCCCCGUGUCUUCCUGUCGAUGUUGAGAUGGCAGGCCUAAUAAUGACCUGUAGCACAAAGGAACCAGCAGGUGAACCAGCAGCUGUACAAGUGAAACAACUUAGUACAGUAUUAUGAGUGCGGCUCUGUUCUGAGUGACAAUUACCUCAGCACAGCCUCGACCAAUCAGCACCAAGUAUUCAAGUCACGUGAUACUCUCUCGCCGUCUCCUCAGCCAUUCGCCCUGCGCCCGCUGACGUGAUGUGAUGGGUCUCCGGUUGUGUUACAGCGAGGAGAUAAUUGGUGGGCUGUGUGUGGUGAGUGCCACAUUGUCUGUGAGGGACCCCCAGAGCCACACAGCACCAGCUGCAACAGCUACAGCAGCAGCAGCAGCAGCAGCAGCAGCAGCAGCAGGAGGAGGAAAUGGCAUCCACCUUCUACCUCACCCAGUGUCACCGGGGCCUCCUCCUCCUCCAGCAGCUGGCCAGGGUGCAGGGACAGGAUGAGCAAGCAGGUGGUGACAGAGAGGGUGGCCAGCUUGUCCCUCCCUCCUGCCACCCAGCCACAGCACUGGCAGUUGCUGCAGUGAGACUGCCCAGGCACAAGUUUGUGCACGUGUCCAGGACGUGAAGGUGAUGGGAACGUGUCCUGUAGGAGGGAGCAGAGCUGUAACAGUACCCGAGUCUGCUGCUGUGCUGGGAGAAGGAGAAAAACAUCAGCAGUAGUUAGUAGUGGUAGUAGAAGUAUUCAGCAGUGGUGGGGCUCUGCUGCUGCUGCUGCUGUCAGUGGUGCAGCUGUUCACUCCUCCACAGCUGCUGCCUUCCCUCAACAUACUGUGUCUUCCCUCACCUACAAUGAACAACUAUGAACAAUACCUCUCGUGCAAUCAGGCAGCGCUCAGCUGUACUCACCGAUAGACUGACCACUAAGAAUUACCUGUGGGCCACAUGACAAGGCCCACGCCAGCCAGGCUUGGUUGCCAAUCAAUAACAACAACAACAACAACAACAUCUCAUGCAAUGAAGAACACUGAAUAACAACAACACCUCUCCCCUGCAUCAUCAACAAUCAACAACAUCUUAGUUUCACUGAUGCUGCCCCCCCCCCCCUCUCUCUCUCUCUCUCUCUCUCUCUCUCUCUCUCUCUCUCUCUCUCUCUCUCUCUCCUCACCUCAGGCCACAGCGCCACAGUAUGUCCCCCCACAGUAUGUUUACAAACCCACAGUGACUCCCCACAGCCCCUCACCAAUAAGUGACCCCCUCACACACACACACACACACACACACACACACACACACGCUGCAUCUUGUACAAUGGCCACAAUAAAGAAUGGACACACAAAAUGGACAAA
Long non-coding RNA from Scylla paramamosain (green mud crab), 1614 nucleotides. RefSeq lists it as uncharacterized. Lineage: Eukaryota; Metazoa; Arthropoda; Malacostraca; Decapoda; Portunidae. The record is from RefSeq and is a predicted model, not a curated record. The transcript has 5 exons.